AGUGAACGCUGGCGGUAGGCCUAACACAUGCAAGUCGAACGGCAGCACAGUAAGAGCUUGCUCUUACGGGUGGCGAGUGGCGGACGGGUGGGGAAUACAUCGGAAUCUACUUUUUCGUGGGGGAUAACGUAGGGAAACUUACGCUAAUACCGCAUACGACCUACGGGUGAAAGCAGGGGAUCUUCGGACCUUGCGCGAUUGAAUGAGCCGAUGUCGGAUUAGCUAGUUGGCGGGGUAAAGGCCCACCAAGGCGACGAUCCGUAGCUGGUCUGAGAGGAUGAUCAGCCACACUGGAACUGAGACACGGUCCAGACCCCUACGGGAGGCAGCAGUGGGGAAUAUUGGACAAUGGGCGCAAGCCUGAUCCAGCCAUACCGCGUGGGUGAAGAAGGCCUUCGGGUUGUAAAGCCCUUUUGUUGGGAAAGAAAAGCAGCAGGUUAAUACCCCGCUGUUCUGACGGUACCCAAAGAAUAAGCGCCGGCUAACUUCGUG
This 492-nucleotide ribosomal RNA is filed under the name uncultured bacterium. RNAcentral describes it as "partial 16S ribosomal RNA". It matches the Rfam family "Bacterial small subunit ribosomal RNA", at positions 29 to 507 of the family's 1533-position model. The record is from RNAcentral.